UACGUAGGGGGCGAGCGUUGUCCGGAGUUACUGGGCGUAAAGCGCACGCAGGCGGUCUGCUAAGUUUGGAGUGACAGUUGGUGGCUUAACUGCCAAAGUGCUUCGAAAACUGACAGACUUGAGGGCUUCAGAGGGACACGGAAUUCCCGGUGUAGUGGUGAAAUGCGUAGAGAUCGGGAAGAACACCCGUGGCGAAGGCGGCCGGCUGGGCCGACCCUGACACUGAGGCGCGAAGGCGUGGGGAGCGAACGGG
Molecule: ribosomal RNA, 253 nt
Filed under: uncultured bacterium
Lineage: Bacteria
Description: partial 16S ribosomal RNA
Rfam family: Bacterial small subunit ribosomal RNA
Source: RNAcentral